Molecule: long non-coding RNA, 1820 nt
Organism: Nematostella vectensis (starlet sea anemone)
Lineage: Eukaryota; Metazoa; Cnidaria; Anthozoa; Actiniaria; Edwardsiidae
Exons: 2
Source: RefSeq, a predicted model, not a curated record
GCGAAAAAGUACGACAGCCCAUGUUAGGGUCCAAUCGGGUAUUGUGCCUUUGCUAAAAGGCACAGCCAAUCAGAGGAAAAAAACUUGGGCAAGUCCGACUACGACUGUGAGAAAAUAUUGAGCAGAAAAAUGACCUCAGCAUCUUUGCAAGGGUUUGACAAGCUAACAAGAUGGCUCAUAGACGGACGAGUGUACAAAGAGAAGUAUCACAGUUAAGCCAAGAGACUAAUUUUACUACAGACAAGUUAACAAGAUUCUUGUUAGCUUGAUGGCUCAUAGACAGACGAGUGUACAAAGAGAAAUAUUACAAUAAAGCCAAGAGACUAAUUUUUCUUACAGACAAGCUAACGAGAUGGCUCAUAGACGGACGAGUGUACAGAAGUAUCACAACAAAGCCAAGAGACUAAUUUUACUACAGACAAGCUAACAAGAUUCUUGUUAGCUUGAUGGCUCAUAGACAGACGAGUGUACAAAGAGAUGUAUUACAACAAAGCCAAGAGACUAAUUUUUCUUACAGACAAGCUAACAAGAUGGCUCAUAGACGGACGAGUGUACAAAGAGAAGUAUCAUCGCAAAGUUAAGACGGGUGCGUGUUAUCUAUAGAUGUUCAUCUUUGAGAAGAGGAGUUCGCCACUUGGAAAAGUGCUUGACUUAUAUGCGUGAACUCUCGUGUCUGCCCCAUUUCAAAGUUGGUGUUGCGACGGGCGGCAAGCGAGUCGGUUUUAAUUCCUUCUCUCUGCUUUUCUGGUGUUAAUAUGGUAUUGAUAUUAAAUUUUCGCUUUGUUGUAAAGAGAGCGCAAAAGUAACAGAUAUAGGGAAACGUCAUUUUUUUCUUUUUAAUUAAUUAUGUCGGCGUUAUUAAAAGAACAAACAAGACAUGAAGAUUAAUCUAAAAACAAACAAAACGGAAAUUAACAAAUCUGUCGCCGCCACAGUAAUGAGAAUUCUUGCAAACAAUUCUCUUGAUUCCAAACAAAAACAGCCAAAUAUACCGAAUAGCAUACAUAUUCUUGGUUCUAAAAGGCUGUUUUAGAUGGAAAGUGUAAGUGCAGAUAUGAUUUGACAUGCUUUGAGAAAAAGAAUUCAUUCAUUUUGCAAGACUGCAAAGUAAUUAAUUUAAAAUGGCGGGAAUUUUUGAAUUUCAAUGUCGGCUUGUUUUGUUUUUAUUGUUUUGUGUUAUAACAUAUAGAACAUAAAACGGAAGAGAGGUGAGCACGAAAAAUUAAAAAAAUCAAUCGAAUUUAUCCGAAACACCAAUGCCAGUAUACCCCUUUCUAUUGAAAUACUGUGAGAAAAAAAAUCAGGUCUCAUAUGCAUUGAGCAGAAAGUCAUAUGAUUCUAGUGAACAUUUGGAUGUAAAUUGAGGCAAAAAAAUCGUGUCUUUGUGGUUUAAAGGGGGCCACAAAAAUCGUAGAGCGGUCACGCUAAAUUCAGUGCACGCAAAUUGCUAAAAGCGUUCAUCUGCAAGUUUACGGAAACGGAAAUGAUCUACAUCACGAAAUCUCACAUGACUUACAACCGCAAUUACCAGAUUUAUAACGAGUGCUUUUGCAACAUAGUAAUCUUAUACAAAUGUCAGACACAAACAUAAGGGGAAACCAGGUGAACGGGUAAUUUGGAUGUUCAUUCAUCACCAAGAGCUCGGUAGAUAGCUCCGAAAUCUUUGAACAAUUGCCCCUGAAAUAGUUUAUAUAAUUUGUAAAGGAAUAUAAAAGAGAAAAAUAAUAUCUUUAGAAGGAAGGGAGGAUAUAAAGAGCGGGUUCCAUGUCAAAAGGUGUUAUUCAAACAGAUAUGAAGUAAAAUGUAUAGCGUUGUGUAAA